CGGAGUCAAGAAUGCAAUUUCGUUGGGAGUUCGAGAGUUUAUCGAAAGUCCGGACGUUCGUCGGAAGUUCUACUAGAAUUGACCGAGAAGUCAUAGAGCUUGCUAAAGAAGCUCAUCAAGAAGAUUGUCAUGAAGUCUAGGAGCUUGCCGAGAGUCCAUCGGAACAUUGUUGAGAGAUCGUCAGAAGUUCGCCAGAAGAUCG
This 202-nucleotide long non-coding RNA is filed under the name Musa acuminata (dwarf banana). RNAcentral describes it as "long non-coding RNA (MACU_LNC001992)". Lineage: Eukaryota; Viridiplantae; Streptophyta; Magnoliopsida; Zingiberales; Musaceae. The record is from RNAcentral.